GGAUUGUGGCUCAGCGGUAGAGCGCUCACCUUGCAUGCAUGAAGCCCUGGGUUCAAUUCUCAACACCA
RNAcentral lists this transfer RNA (68 nucleotides) under Marmota monax (woodchuck). RNAcentral's name for it is "tRNA.Ala". The record is from RNAcentral. Lineage: Eukaryota; Metazoa; Chordata; Mammalia; Rodentia; Sciuridae.